AGCUUUCCACCCUGAGUCCGGGAGCCAGAUAUGUAAACAAACCAUGAGGUGUGAAUCAAGAGUGAAGUUUGUCCUGUUUACACUGUAGUUUGUCGAGGGUUACAAUUCAGUGAAAUUCAACACGAACAUUUGUCCUUUGAAGCAGCUGGUUCCUUUGAAGCAGCUAAAAUGUUCACCUCCGUUUGUUUCUCGCUGGAUGACUAAUUGUGAAGAUGGUUUGAUAUGCUUUGCUGCAAAGAGAACCUGGCUGUCUUUUGGCUGGUACUCUCUUCCAGCUAAAAAUGGGAAACUGAAGACAGAAAGCCACAGAGGAACACAGGUGUGCUGAGCUCCAGGAGAAAUUCUCAACCACCGUGCUUUUCCAAAACACACAUUCCUCUGGGAGAGCUAACAAGGGAUGGUACGAACAGCAAAAUGUGUCGUACAUUCACCAGAUCCUCCAAGGAAGAAGGGCCCACCGCAGCUCCCACAUGAGGGUGAGGGCAUGUCGCCCAAGCGAGGGAGUGAAGGACGACAGGGUCCCGGAAGAUAGGGCUCCAGGGUGACACCUGGGUCCUCUUUGGGAUACUCCGUCCCCGCUGCAAGUCUCUACCUCCGGGCACCCCGACUGGACGUUUUGGAAGGAAAAGCACCGCCAAGGACAAGAGAACAAGAACCCGGGUUGACGACAACGUGCCGAGGAAAAUUUGCAAGGGGUCAGCUCCUCGAAACCUCCCGGCAGAGAAAUGGGAAAUCACGGAUCAUGAGAAAUGGGUCAGAGCCUCUCCAUUUACUGUACAGUAAUAACAUAAGCAACUGACCUUCCGAAGAGUGUUUUAUGGUAUUUUUCAUGGCAAGGCUGUCACUCUUGGGUCCGCUAACCCUCACUUUGCUACUUCUAUUCAUACGCUUUAUAUGUAUUUAUUUGUUGAGUUAUAUAUUUUAGCUGAACUUGGAAUGACAGUUAUUUUUAAGAGGCUGCCAACAUGGGUCCGGAGGAACCUCAGAAACCUGGCUCACGGUGGCUCUGGCAUAAGGAACCUCGACAGCCAAAACCAGCCAGAAAGCUGAUGAGAUCCAGGUUUCCAAAACACUAGCGGAAAGGCAUCCUUCUGCUUUCUUCCAUAAAGCUUUUGCAAAAAAAAAAAAAAAAAGUUAUUUACCAAAGAGGACUCCUUGUGUCACACAACCAACCACUUCCUUGAGUGUUCAGAGUGUAAAUCUUAGAGGUCCGUGUGUCGGGGUCUAGCUGCAAGGAGGAUGCGGCUUUCUUCACCUGGGUUUGCGACAAGGUGUGAGACAGGUGUGGUGCCCCAGGGGCCAGGGCCCCCGACGCACCCGACACCGACACAGCUGCCUUCUGAAUUUGCGGCCCUGAGUUUCUCCACUGACAGCCUUCCAAAACUAAUUGAGGCUGUUAGGAUAAAGAGGGCAGUUUCUCAGCUUCGGUACCUUUAAGGUUAUUUCAACUUUCCACCUCUGUUAACUGUCCUGCAGGAACUUCUGACAGAGAGCCCUCCCUUACCAUUCAAAAGGCCGAGGUGUUCCAAAAAACACCCUCCCACUCCUCAUCAGAGAGCUGAAGCCCGGGUCCUUGUCUAACGAAUUUCGGAGAUGACGGUCAACAGGUCUGGGGAUGACUUAACCAUGUUUAUGACAGGCAGACUCCUGGGUUGAGGCUCGGGACAAACCAACCUUUCACAUGAGUCCUUCAAAACAGACAGUGUUCUGUUUGAAUUUCUGAACCCCAUUCUAGGACAAACAUGCUUGGCAUCUAGUGCCAGAGACUUUUCUUCUUGGCCAACGGCUCAGCGGCCACCAUGGCUAUUACACCUUAGGUCCCUGCAGUCUCCUCUCUUCCCCUGCCCCUCAUCCCCUUUUCCCUGAGCUAGUCGCUGUGCCCAGGCUGCAGGGGUAGAGGCGAUGGAUCCGGAUGCCAGCGAGCUGUCAGAGCCUCUGCCUGGGGCUCAGUCACGUCACACUCCUCCCAGUCCCUCCUUGGUCUGGCAUGACGACAGAUGGCCACCGUGCCCAUCGUUUGUCCAUCACUCCGACGCUGGCCACGGGGCCAACAUCAACGCAGACCAGCCCACGCCUGAUCACAUGAAGACACGGGGGCAUCCAGAGAUCCCCCUCAACUCAAAGGACCUUUAUCACUCCUGUCCCCAGUGUCUUCGAAGGAGCGAUGGUAGAGAGAAUAACCUUUCUCAGCUCUCCUCUCGAUGCCUUUGGAAAGAUCUUAGACUUAUCUGACCGCGGACAAGCAGCAGCCCUUGGAAAUGAUCAAACCCAUACCCCCUCUCCCAUUCGAAAGUGUUCUUUCGUAGAGGCCCAAUUCCUUAUUGGAUUGCUUCCUGCUGACUAAGGACGAACUUUUUCUCCUAGGGAUUGACUGAAAUGUAAGAGUUGGAAAUGGUCUUAAAGAUCACUUGAUUUAAUGGUCCCACGAACUGAAAAUGCCUACUAGCUACUGUAGCACAAAGCUUCCUGGGCCUCAACCUCCCUCCCCAACCCAAGCUCUAGGCUAACUCGGUAGAGGCCUGGUGGGGGACCUACAGCUGCUCCAAGGGGUUCUGAAGCCACAUCUGAAAACCACUAAUAUAAUCCAACUUCCUCGUUUUUCCUAAGGCCCAGAGAAUUUAGGUUACUUGCCGAAGGCCACACAAUCGUUAAUGACAAGCCUGACUUCUGCAGUUUCUGGUGUCGCCUGACCACUGACAUUCUUUACCUGCCUUUAGUACUUAGUAAAACUUCAGUCAUUUAGUCUCUGCUAAUAAAGAUAAUGUUUUCUUACGGCUAUCCAAUUCAAUUUCUUUGAAUUUAUUGCAUAACCUAUAAAUUUUUGGUCUUACAUGCAAGUGUCACAUUUCUUAAAUCAGGAGUGUUUUCUAAAAAAAAAAUUAUAGAUUCUUCAUUCAUUCACCUUCAGAUUCUA
Molecule: long non-coding RNA, 2914 nt
Organism: Zalophus californianus (California sea lion)
Lineage: Eukaryota; Metazoa; Chordata; Mammalia; Carnivora; Otariidae
Exons: 6
Source: RefSeq, a predicted model, not a curated record